Molecule: long non-coding RNA, 2651 nt
Organism: Cyanistes caeruleus (blue tit)
Lineage: Eukaryota; Metazoa; Chordata; Aves; Passeriformes; Paridae
Source: RefSeq, a predicted model, not a curated record
CGGUGCAGGGUCCUCCCGCCGGGCAGCUCCGGACGCGCCGGGAGUUGCGGUGCUGCUGCUCGGGCUGGCGCAGGGUCACUGCAUAACGCCGACAACCGUAACGCACCGACGGCCAGGGAGCUACACCGCUUUCUCCGGGAUAGGCAUCCAUAGUUUUGGAGAUUUAAACCAACUGAUUAAGAUUUGCAUUCCCAGCACCUGUCAAACAACUUCCAGGCUGCUUUUCCAGGCUCGGUCCCAAGCUCUGACCCCGUUCAUCUCCAGCAAUACAGAGGCAAAAGGCUGUGGUCCUAGCAGGAGCUACUUCUAGGGAACCACUCCACAGGAGUUUUCCUCAUUGUUUUUUAUAUUUGAAGGAGCAGUGCUUGGCACCUGAAAGCUGCUAAAGGAUGGUGAUGGCAUUGGAAGACAUUUCUGAUAUAGAAGGCAUUUGUAGCUGGGAAGAGAAGUGAGGAAUACAUUUCCCUGAUGAUCAGGGAGCAAGAGCAAAUAUGUAAGAGAUAGAAGAUCUUCUGAGAUCUUACAAGAAAGCAGAAGAGAAAUGAAGUGCAUAAUUUUCAAAUCUGCGUUCUCUCUUGGAAAUACAGCUCAUUUGUUCUUUUCACCAAAAAUUCAGUCGAGUUCUACAGAAUUACUAAAACUGGAACUCGGUAGCAAAAACAGCAGCAGUCUCAAGUAUAGAGACUUGAAAAAAUUAUCUAUACUCUGCAUUUAAUUUUGUGAGAAGAUUCUACCAGACUCUGCAAGAUUUAUUCUUCACUACUGAGAUAUUUCAUAAAUAAAGAUGUGCUAAAAUUCCUGGAAAACAAUCAUGUUCAGAUUGUAUUCCACAAUCCUAGAAAUACCUAGAAAUGAAGUCCUACUAUUUCCAGCUGUGUCAAAUGCCUUUUGCAUAACUAUUUUAUUCCUGUUCAUGCAAUAAACCUCCAAAUUAUGCAUGGCCAAUGCAGAUCUAAAUGCAGGAGCACAAGAUGUGACGUUAGCCCAUUUUCAGUAAUGAAUUUGGAAACUACUUCUGGCUUUGGGAAAAAUAUAGAGAAGACAAUAGCUAUUAUUAGGUUAUCUAGACCAAACUUUUGCCAAUGCCCACUGGAUUUCAUUUUUGUUACUUUUGAGUUACUCAGGCAAUCGUCUGUCACCAGCCACUUGAGGUGAUUAUUCCAGCCCAGUGGUUCUCUCAGCUGGAAUGUUUCUCCUGAUGCUAAGUUUAACAUUUUAUUUUGUUGAAAUUCACCCAGUUCAUCUUUCACAUAUGCUUGAAGUAGCAUUAUAAAUCCUUUUCUGUUUUGAAUCUAACCAAAAUAGAAGAUACAUUGAGUAUAUAGGAAUGAGCACAGAUAAAUAUAUUUCCACCAAUUAGUUUUAGCAGCAUUUAAGUAUUUUUUUCUCCUCUUUUCUCUGCAUACCAAUGUCUGGUUUGCAUUUCUUUGCUUCUGAGCUAUGCACAACUACAGCAGUCCUCAAAAUUUUAUUCCUGAUCUUCAGCUGAUGCUGGGUAACUGCCACUGGAGUAGAAAUUAACAUCUAAAGAGAUGCUAUUGAUCUCUGGUUUGUGACAUGAUGCAGCUAUCAUUAGAACCACAAAUACAUUUGACUUUUUCCAUUAACACCUUAAAUUUUCUUCAUUCUUCCCUUGACUUACCAAAUUAGGUGAUACAUUAAUACACCUUUAAUAUUUUUAACAGACUAUACUCUGCUUCCUGUCCUGCCUCCUAGCGGCAGAUUCAUAAAAGGGAUAGCACGGCCUAGAUAAUUUAGAAUUAUCAGUGUGCAAUCUCCUUGCUAACAGUGCAUGCUUACUUAGAACUUUUGAUGGUUUAGGGUUUGGUUUUUUUAAGUUAUUUUUGUUUCAUUUUGCUUUUCAUUUGCAUUAUUUUGCUGUUUGUGUCUUCUUCCUACCAUCUUACUGACUUUCUAUUCAGGUAUGAUUUUCUUCCUCUUCUCUAUUUAUAAAGAUUUGUGCCAGCAGUCGAUGCCAUGUAGACAGUUUUCCACUGGGAACUCACUGAACGUUCUCCCACACAGCAGCACCGUUUGGUAACAGCUUUUGGCCGCUACCCAAAAAGGAGCUACCUAAGAAGAAGUUAGAGGCCCUGUGAGACCACUCUGAUCCCUUGAACCACUGGUAAAUUGUCCCAAAGCACCCAUCUGAAAUCACACAACACACCAGCACAAGCACUGUGUGCAGUGCAGUGUCCUAGGUUUGCUCACAGAGGGGGAGCCCAGCGCCCUGGGGCGUGGCCAAUGGAAUAUCGCUGUUGUAUAUCGCCCACAUCAUCACUGCCUCUGUCUCAGGAAUAACCGUGAGCUGCUGCCAGCUGCAGGAACAUCUCUUAUCUUGUCAUUGUCUCAGCAGCACGUGGAACUAAACUGAGAUCCUAAGGAAACCGUAUGCAUAUGAGAAAAUACGUGAGCUGCAAUGAAUGAACUACCAGUGAGGAGGGAGAUGGCCAGCAUAUCCUCUGUGAAGAAUCUGCAGUGCUGAAACUCAUUCUUGCCUUCCAAAUUGGAAGAAAGUGGAUUAUUGGAAGCUAAUCUCAGGUUUAUUACUGGAUGCUGUGGAAUUAACACACGGGAGGCCUAUCUCUUUGCACCUGGGUGGGAUAAUGGCAGAAACUUCAGGUUAAUAAAACCUUCUCUUGCACGCACAA